This is a long non-coding RNA of Oncorhynchus tshawytscha (Chinook salmon), 1556 nucleotides long. Lineage: Eukaryota; Metazoa; Chordata; Actinopteri; Salmoniformes; Salmonidae. The record is from Ensembl.
GUGCUUAUAGUCGGACAGUAUUUUCUAAACUAUGUGCCAUGUGAAUUAAUAAAUGCUCUUAAAAUGUUUUAUUUUGUUUCUGCAAGAAAAGGACAGUAAACUUAAUGAAAGUGUCUCGCUAUAAAGUCAUACUAUCAGUGAGUGAUACAGUAUGUGGACUCUGGGAUUUAUAAUGUGACGUUCGUGUAGCCUAAUCCUCCAUCGGUUGACAUGUGUGUUUACCGGCAAUCAUUUAAACUGGAAACUCAAGAUGGUUGUAUUUAUACAUGCUUAUGUUUACUCUUUUUCCAGAAUAAAGAAAAUGCCAACAGUUCUGUGUCUAUAUUAGUGGAACAUGAGACAUGCACAGCCUUGCAGCUAUAGAUUCCAGACAUUUGAAAUAAAACAUGCAGGGGACACUCAGUGGUUUGUCAGAUGUAUGCCCACCCUGAAGUACAUAACGUGGAGAAAGCAAGGCAAUGCAAUUGGAAGAUUAGUAUCUAUUAUUGAAGAAACACUCCAGCUUGAAGGUGCUGGCAUGAAUGUACGGUGCGUUCGGAAAGUAUUCAGACCCCUUGACUUUUUCCACAUUUUGUUACGUUACAGCCUUAUUCUAAAAUGGAUUAAAUUAAUAUCCCCUCUCAAUCUACACACACUACUUCAUAAUGACAAAGUGCAACGUUAUUUUUGCACAUUUUAUUUAAAGAAGAAAAAAACUCUGAUUUGCUUAAGUAUUCAGACCCUUUGUGAUGAGACUCAAUUGAGCUCAGGUGCAUCCUGUUUUCAUUGAUCAUCCUUGAUGUUUCUACAACUUGAUUGGAGUCCACCUGUGGUUUAUUCAAUUGAUUGGACAUUAUUUGGAAAGACACAUCUACCUACAGUGCGUUCGGAAGGUUUUCAGACCCCUUGACUUAUUCCACAUUUUGUUACGUUACAGCCUAAUACCCCAUAAUGAUAAAGCAAAAACAUGUUUUUAGACAUUUUUGCAAAUGUAUAAAAAAAAUAUGAAAUAUCAUAUUUGCAUAUGUAUUCAGACCCUUUACUCAGUACUUUGUUGAAGCAACUUUGGCAGCUAUUGAUUACAGCCUCGUGUUCUUGGGUAUGACGCUACAAGCUUGGCACCUGUAUUUGGGGAGUUUCUCCCAUUCUUCUCUGCAGAUCCUCUCAAGCUCUGUCAUGUUGGAUGGGGCGCGUCGCUGCACAGCUAUUUUCAGGUCUCUCCAAAGAUGUUCAAUUGGGUUCAAGUCCAGGCUCUGGCAGGGACACACGGACAUUCAGAGACUUGUCCCGAAGCCACUCCUGCGUUGUCUUGGCUGUGUGCGUAGGGUUGUUUUCCUGUUGGAAGGUGCGAAGGACCUUUCUGUACUUUGUUCCGUUCAUCUUUCCCUCGAUCCUGACUAGUCUCCCAGUCCCUGCAGCUGAAGAACAUCCCCACAGCACGAUGCUGCCACCAUGGUUUACCGUGGGGAUGGUGCCAGGUUUCCUCUAGAAGUGAAGCUUGGCAUUCAGGCCAAAGAGUUCAAUAUUGGUUUCAUCAGACCAGAGCAUCUCGUUUCUCCUAGUUAGAGUGCUUUAGG